AAAAUUCCAGCAUUGGCCAUAUUUCUGAGAAAGUUGGACAAUUAAGGCAUGAUAGCUGUUGUUUGUAGACCCAACUGUUAGCUUGGUCAGUAAGUUUUUCUCUAUAGUCUACACAUUGUUGAUCAAGGUUUAAUUUUUAGAGCCAAAUCAUAAUGAGAGAUUUUAUUUCCCUGUGAAUUCCCUAUUUCUAGCGUGGAUGGUUUGCCUUUGACUAGAUUGGGGAAAUAGACCUGAUAAAGUACGCCAAAGCUGAACAUAAUACCCUCUGACUGUAGUAUUGAAAAAAAUGUGGUUAAACUUGUGAAGGAUAAAGGCAGAUAUUGUAUGGAUGCUCUCUGGACCCAGUUCCAAGUAAUAAUUUUCUUUGUAUUUGAUGUGUGUCUUUUAUCAUAGGUCAAAAGGUAAUUCCUUUUUGGGUCAAUAAUUACUGGCUAUAUGCAUAUAGUAGGAUAUGAACUCCUUUGUUGAAAUGCUGCAUUGGUCUUCGCAAAGGUUUAAUUUCUUCUAUUUCCCAGCCCUUCCCACAUAAAAUG
Molecule: unclassified non-coding RNA, 533 nt
Filed under: Hevea brasiliensis (rubber tree)
Lineage: Eukaryota; Viridiplantae; Streptophyta; Magnoliopsida; Malpighiales; Euphorbiaceae
Source: RNAcentral